RNAcentral lists this ribosomal RNA (254 nucleotides) under uncultured bacterium. Its description in RNAcentral is "partial 16S ribosomal RNA". It matches the Rfam family "Bacterial small subunit ribosomal RNA", at positions 524 to 776 of the family's 1533-position model. The record is from RNAcentral.
UACGUAGGGUGCGAGCGUUGUCCGGAAUUAUUGGGCGUAAAGAGCUCGUAGGCGGUGUGUCACGUCGUUCGUGAAAACCUGCAGCUUAACUGUGGGCGUGCGGUCGAUACGGGCAUCACUGGAGUUCGGCAGGGGAGACUGGAAUUCCUGGUGUAGCGGUGAGAUGCGCAGAUAUCAGGAGGAACCCCGGUGGCGAAGGCGGGUCUCUGGGCCGAUACUGACGCUGAGGAGCGAAAGCGUGGGGAGCAAACAGG